This 916-nucleotide ribosomal RNA is filed under the name uncultured bacterium. Its description in RNAcentral is "bacterial SSU rRNA". It matches the Rfam family "Bacterial small subunit ribosomal RNA", at positions 8 to 916 of the family's 1533-position model. The record is from RNAcentral.
AGAGUUUGAUCAUGGCUCAGGACGAACGCUGGCGGCGUGCUUAAUACAUGCAAGUCGAGCGAGGUUACUGUUUUGGAUCCCUUCGGGGUGAAGAAGCUUUAACCUAGCGGCGGACGGGUGAGUAACGCGUGGGUAACCUACCCCAAAGUCCGGGAUAACAGCGGGAAACCGCUGCUAAUACCGGAUGCCUUUACCUUGGGGCAUCUUGAGGUAAAGAAAGGUAACGCUUUGGGAUGGGCCCGCGUCCCAUUAGCUAGUUGGUGAGGUAACGGCUCACCAAGGCGACGAUGGGUAGCCGGCCUGAGAGGGUGGACGGCCACACUGGGACUGAGACACGGCCCAGACUCCUACGGGAGGCAGCAGUGGGGAAUAUUGCGCAAUGGACGGAAGUCUGACGCAGCGACGCCGCGUGAGCGAUGAAGGUCUUCGGAUCGUAAAGCUCUGUCCUUGGGGAAGAAGGCGAAAGCUUGACGGUACCCAAGAAGAAAGCCCCGGCUAACUACGUGCCAGCAGCCGCGGUAAUACGUAGGGGGCGAGCGUUGUCCGGAAUUACUGGGCGUAAAGGGUGCGUAGGCGGCCCUUUAAGUCGGAUGUGAAAGCCCGCGGCUUAGCCGCGGAAUGGCAUUCGAAACUGGAGGGCUUGAGUGUCGGAGAGGGUAGUGGAAUUCCCAGUGUAGCGGUGAAAUGCGUAGAUAUUGGGAGGAACACCAGUGGCGAAGGCGACUACCUGGACGAUAACUGACGCUGANGCACGAAAGCUAGGGGAGCAAACAGGAUUAGAUACCCUGNUAGUCCUAGCCGUAAACGAUGGGUACUANGUGUGGGUGGUUUCGAUACCAUCCGUGCCGUAGUUAACGCAUUAAGUACCCCGCCUGGGGAGUACGUGCGCAAGCAUGAAACUCAAAUGAAUUGACGG